AGGUGUUAGAUUUUAGGUAUUGACACA
RNAcentral lists this non-coding RNA (27 nucleotides) under Mus musculus (house mouse). The record is from RNAcentral. Lineage: Eukaryota; Metazoa; Chordata; Mammalia; Rodentia; Muridae.